This 346-nucleotide unclassified non-coding RNA is filed under the name soil metagenome. Its description in RNAcentral is "partial contains 5.8S ribosomal RNA, internal transcribed spacer 2, and large subunit ribosomal RNA". The stretch from base 1 to 119 matches the Rfam family "5.8S ribosomal RNA", at positions 35 to 154 of the family's 154-position model. The record is from RNAcentral.
GAUGAAGAACGCAGCGAAAUGCGAUACGUAAUGUGAAUUGCAAAUUCAGUGAAUCAUCGAGUCUUUGAACGCACAUUGCGCCCCCUGGUAUUCCGGGGGGCAUGCCUGUCCGAGCGUCAUUGCUGCCCUCAAGCACGGCUUGUGUGUUGGGCCCCGUCCUCCGAUCCCGGGGGACGGGCCCGAAAGGCAGCGGCGGCACCGCGUCCGGUCCUCGAGCGUAUGGGGCUUUGUCACCCGCUCUGUAGGCCCGGCCGGCGCUUGCCGAUCAACCCAAAUUUUUUAUCCAGGUUGACCUCGGAUCAGGUAGGGAUACCCGCUGAACUUAAGCAUAACAAUAAGCGGAGGA